GUGAACUCGAAGAGUAGGGCGGGACACGUGGUAUCCUGUCUGAAUAUGGGGGGACCAUCCUCCAAGGCUAAAUACUCCUGACUGACCGAUAGUGAACCAGUACCGUGAGGGAAAGGCGAAAAGAACCCCGGCGAGGGGAGUGAAAAAGAACCUGAAACCGUGUACGUACAAGCAGUGGGAGCACCUUCGGGUGUGACUGCGUACCUUUUGUAUAAUGGGUCAGCGACUUAUAUUCUGUAGCAAGGUUAACCGUAUAGGGGAGCCGCAGGGAAACCGAGUCUUAACUGGGCGUUAAGUUGCAGGGUAUAGACCCGAAACCCGGUGAUCUAGCCAUGGGCAGGUUGAAGGUUGGGUAACACUAACUGGAGGACCGAACCGACUAAUGUUGAAAAAUUAGCGGAUGACUUGUGGCUGGGGGUGAAAGGCCAAUCAAACCGGGAGAUAGCUGGUUCUCCCCGAAAGCUAUUUAGGUAGCGCCUCGUGAACUCAUCUUCGGGGGUAGAGCACUGUUUCGGCUAGGGGGUCAUCCCGACUUACCAACCCGAUGCAAACUACGAAUACCGAAGAAUGUUAUCACGGGAGACACACGGCGGGUGCUAACGUCCGUCGUGAAGAGGGAAACAACCCAGACCGCCAGCUAAGGUCCCAAAGUCAUGGUUAAGUGGGAAACGAUGUGGGAAGGCACAGACAGCCAGGAUGUUGGCUUAGAAGCAGCCAUCAUUUAAAGAAAGCGUAAUAGCUCACUGGUCGAGUCGGCCUGCGCGGAAGAUGUAACGGGGCUAAACCAUGCACCGAAGCUGCGGCAGCGACACUAUGUGUUGUUGGGUAGGGGAGCGUUCUGUAAGCCUGCGAAGGUGUGCUGUGAGGCAUGCUGGAGGUAUCAGAAGUGCGAAUGCUGACAUAAGUAACGAUAAAGCGGGUGAAAAGCCCGCUCGCCGGAAGACCAAGGGUUCCUGUCCAACGUUAAUCGGGGCAGGGUGAGUCGACCCCUAAGGCGAGGCCGAAAGGCGUAGUCGAUGGGAAACAGGUUAAUAUUCCUGUACUUGGUGUUACUGCGAAGGGGGGACGGAGAAGGCUAUGUUAGCCGGGCGACGGUUGUCCCGGUUUAAGCAUGUAGGCUGAUUGUCCAGGCAAAUCCGGAUAAUCAAGGCUGAGGUGUGAUGACGAGGCACUACGGUGCUGAAGUAACAAAUGCCCUGCUUCCAGGAAAAGCCUCUAAGCAUCAGGUAACAUUAAAUCGUACCCCAAACCGACACAGGUGGUCAGGUAGAGAAUACCAAGGCGCUUGAGAGAACUCGGGUGAAGGAACUAGGCAAAAUGGUGCCGUAACUUCGGGAGAAGGCACGCUGGUGUGUAGGUGAAGCCCCUGCGGGUGGAGCUGAGACCAGUCGAAGAUACCAGCUGGCUGCAACUGUUUAUUAAAAACACAGCACUGUGCAAACACGAAAGUGGACGUAUACGGUGUGACGCCUGCCCGGUGCCGGAAGGUUAAUUGAUGGGGUUAUCCGUAAGGAGAAGCUCUUGAUCGAAGCCCCGGUAAACGGCGGCCGUAACUAUAACGGUCCUAAGGUAGCGAAAUUCCUUGUCGGGUAAGUUCCGACCUGCACGAAUGGCGUAAUGAUGGCCAGGCUGUCUCCACCCGAGACUCAGUGAAAUUGAACUCGCUGUGAAGAUGCAGUGUACCCGCGGCAAGACGGAAAGACCCCGUGAACCUUUACUAUAGCUUGACACUGAACAUUGAGCCUUGAUGUGUAGGAUAGGUGGGAGGCUUUGAAGCGUGGACGCCAGUCUGCGUGGAGCCAACCUUGAAAUACCACCCUUUAAUGUUUGAUGUUCUAACGUUGGCCCCUUACCGGGGUUGCGGACAGUGUCUGGUGGGUAGUUUGACUGGGGCGGUCUCCUCCCAAAGCGUAACGGAGGAGCACGAAGGUUAGCUAAUCCUGGUCGGACAUCAGGAGGUUAGUGCAAUGGCAUAAGCUAGCUUGACUGCGAGCGUGACGGCGCGAGCAGGUGCGAAAGCAGGUCAUAGUGAUCCGGUGGUUCUGAAUGGAAGGGCCAUCGCUCAACGGAUAAAAGGUACUCCGGGGAUAACAGGCUGAUACCGCCCAAGAGUUCAUAUCGACGGCGGUGUUUGGCACCUCGAUGUCGGCUCAUCACAUCCUGGGGCUGAAGUAGGUCCCAAGGGUAUGGCUGUUCGCCAUUUAAAGUGGUACGCGAGCUGGGUUUAGAACGUCGUGAGACAGUUCGGUCCCUAUCUGCCGUGGGCGCUGGAGAAUUGAGGGGGGCUGCUCCUAGUACGAGAGGACCGGAGUGGACGCAUCACUGGUGUUCGGGUUGUCAUGCCAAUGGCACUGCCCGGUAGCUAAAUGCGGAAGAGAUAAGUGCUGAAAGCAUCUAAGCACGAAACUUGCCCCGAGAUGAGUUCUCCCUGAGACUUUAAGUCUCCUGAAGGAACGUUGAAGACGACGACGUUGAUAGGCCGGGUGUGUAAGCGCAGCGAUGCGUUGAGCUAACCGGUACUAAUGAACCGUGAGGCUUAACCUU
RNAcentral lists this ribosomal RNA (2544 nucleotides) under Klebsiella pneumoniae. RNAcentral describes it as "23S ribosomal RNA". It matches the Rfam family "Bacterial large subunit ribosomal RNA", at positions 399 to 2925 of the family's 2925-position model. The record is from RNAcentral. Lineage: Bacteria; Pseudomonadati; Pseudomonadota; Gammaproteobacteria; Enterobacterales; Enterobacteriaceae.